CGUGUGGAAAGGUAACUGAAGACAGAAUUCCGCAAUGCAGCUUCCAAGAGGUCUUCACUCUAGGUGGGAUGGGAUGUUUUGUUCAUCCAGCUGUUGAGAGUCACCUAUGCUCCUGACCUGCCAUUUAAUAUUCUACCUCAUCCCAAUAGCAUCAUACUGGGCACCAAGCCUUUACUUAGCAUGUCAACCAUUGGAGGCCAUUUGGCAUCCUUAGUACAGCACUGAAACACAAAAGAGAAGUGGAGAAAGGAUCAAUGUUGAAAAGUGAACUCAAGGAGAAAAAAGAAAAAUCACAAUGGACAUCCUGUACCUGCCAAGCAAAAGCAGAAUUAGCCAAGAAGCUCAGCAUCAGAAGAAUGGAUAUUGAAAGCGUGAAAUUUGAGGAAAAUAUACAGAAGUAAAGAAAGUGGUAUUAAAUGGGCCAACUCACUUUUUGGAAAGG
This is a long non-coding RNA of Mastomys coucha (southern multimammate mouse), 442 nucleotides long. RefSeq lists it as uncharacterized. Lineage: Eukaryota; Metazoa; Chordata; Mammalia; Rodentia; Muridae. The transcript is spliced from 3 exons. The record is from RefSeq and is a predicted model, not a curated record.